RNAcentral lists this ribosomal RNA (253 nucleotides) under uncultured bacterium. RNAcentral describes it as "partial 16S ribosomal RNA". It matches the Rfam family "Bacterial small subunit ribosomal RNA", at positions 524 to 776 of the family's 1533-position model. The record is from RNAcentral.
UACAGAGGGUGCGAGCGUUAUUCGGAAUUACUGGGCGUAAAGCGUGCGUAGGCGGUUAUUUAAGUCGGAUGUGAAAGCCCCGGGCUCAACCUGGGAAUUGCAUUCGAGACUGAAUAGCUAGGGUGCGGUAGAGGGAAGCGGAAUUUCCGGUGUAGCGGUGAAAUGCGUAGAUAUCGGAAGGAACAUCAGUGGCGAAAGCGGCUUCCUGGACCAGCACCGACGUUCAGGCACGAAAGCGUGGGGAGCAAACAGG